This 484-nucleotide ribosomal RNA is filed under the name uncultured bacterium. RNAcentral's name for it is "partial 16S ribosomal RNA". It matches the Rfam family "Bacterial small subunit ribosomal RNA", at positions 30 to 507 of the family's 1533-position model. The record is from RNAcentral.
AUUGAACGCUGGCGGCAGGCCUAACACAUGCGAGUCGAGCGGAUGAAGGGAGCUUGCUCCUGGAUUCAGCGGCGGACGGGUGAGUAAUGCCUAGGAAUCUGCCUGGUAGUGGGGGAUAACGUCCGGAAACGGGCGCUAAUACCGCAUACGUCCUGAGGGAGAAAGUGGGGGAUCUUCGGACCUCACGCUAUCAGAUGAGCCUAGGUCGGAUUAGCUAGUUGGUGGGGUAAAGGCCUACCAAGGCGACGAUCCGUAACUGGUCUGAGAGGAUGAUCAGUCACACUGGAACUGAGACACGGUCCAGACUCCUACGGGAGGCAGCAGUGGGGAAUAUUGGGCAAUGGGCGAAAGCCUGAUCCAGCCAUGCCGCGUGUGUGAAGAAGGUCUUCGGAUUGUAAAGCACUUUAAGUUGGGAGGAAGGGCAGUAAGUUAAUACCUUGCUGUUUUGACGUUACCAACAGAAUAAGCACCGGCUAACUUCGUG